CAGUCAUGCAGCCAUCAACUCAGCGGUUAGCGUUAGUAAUUUAUUGCUUUCGUUUUUCGUGUACUUUGUUGUCUGCUGGUUAGCAUCAAUUUUGAUUGUCAUAAAAAGGUUAAGGGGAUGUGGCUCCUUCGGGAGUGUUAUAACCCUUAGCGGAAUGUGGCGAUUGGGAUUGAGGAUUGCAACGAAUACCUUUAGGGCAGUUCCGUCUGGUCUCUU
RNAcentral lists this ribosomal RNA (216 nucleotides) under uncultured Glomeromycotina. Its description in RNAcentral is "partial large subunit ribosomal RNA". The record is from RNAcentral. Lineage: Eukaryota; Fungi; Glomeromycota.